This is a non-coding RNA of Pelobates cultripes (western spadefoot toad), 222 nucleotides long. The record is from the annotation of a GenBank genome assembly. NCBI's taxonomy places the organism in Eukaryota, Metazoa, Chordata, Amphibia, Anura, Pelobatidae.
AGUGAUUUCAUUUAUUUUUAGAUGUGUGUCACAGGUUACCUUAGUUGGGAGUCCGGUAGGCAGAGAUUUAUGCUCACCCCUUGCAAUUAAACACAGGCCAAGGUGGUCGGGUAAGAAUUCACCUGGCCUGUGAGUCUGUGCACGGGGGCUGUGCAGGAUGUUGCUCCAAGUCGCAGUACAGGUAAGGACACAAGCAGGAGAAUCGUCAAGAGUAAGCCAAAG